AAUGCGAUCAUCAAAGGAACGCCAAAUUUUCACAAUAAAAAAAAAAAAAAAGAAGUUUUUUACACCCUCCACAUCUAUAAAUAGAUAACUCAAUGCGACUUAUUAGUUUAUUCAUAAAUUAAGUAAUAAAUCUUUAGGUGAAGAUUGUAGCGAGUGGUAAUGAUGAACAAGGGACACUUUGGAUUUUUCUUCAUUUUACUUAUUCUCCUUACUUGCGAUAUGAUGGAACAAACUGAGGGAUGGGGCUGUGAGCCUGCCGAAUGUGAUUUGAAAUGUAUUGCUGCAGGUUAUCCGCGUGGUGGUCAAUGCAUUAAUAAAAUUAGAUGCUUCUGCAAGAAAUCCAUUGCGGGGGUAAUGAAAGAUCAUAUGCAAGGCGAGCAUUUGUAAAUAGUUCCGUUUAUUAUUAGCACACGAGUAUUCGAGUAGAGAUCCUUUUCAUUUUUAAAAAAAAUUUGAUGGUCUUAAUUACUAGUAUAGUUUUAGCUGUGAUCACUAUAUCUUAGCUACUAUGUCCUUGUGUUCUAGUUAGUUUUCUGAUUAGUAAGGAGUAUAUACCCCUUAUAAUCAUUUGUGUCUUGUUUCAUUUUAUUUAAUCUAAAAUUUCUUUUAGUUGCUUAUGGGUUUUA
Trifolium pratense (red clover) is the source of this 626-nucleotide long non-coding RNA. RefSeq lists it as uncharacterized. The transcript is spliced from 2 exons. The record is from RefSeq and is a predicted model, not a curated record. NCBI's taxonomy places the organism in Eukaryota, Viridiplantae, Streptophyta, Magnoliopsida, Fabales, Fabaceae.